GGGGGUGAACGGUUUCGACUCUGGACGUUGAGUCAGGAGAAGCGUGCAGGUGCAGGCGGAUGACCACCUUAAGCGUCGCCGUAACCCAAUAAGCGCCAAGACGAGUAGUCAGCGCGACUUCGCCCUCGCCGCCUGAGCGAGCGCGAGUCUGUCGGCCCGGGAGCGCCUCCGUCCCGGUAGCCGGCAUCAGCUAGGAGGCUCACCGAUCGGCGUUGGCCGCGGAUUCUGAUCGGGACACCUACAGCGGCUGGGCCCGUCACAUCGGCUAGUUCGCGUGACCGGUGGGGCCAAGUAGAGGCAUAGCGAACUGCGCACGGAGAAGGCCUGGCAAGGCGGCAGAGGACCCGGGUUCGAUUCCCGGCACCUCCACCA
RNAcentral lists this transfer-messenger RNA (372 nucleotides) under Sciscionella sp. It matches the Rfam family "transfer-messenger RNA". From Rfam's summary of the family: Bacterial tmRNA, also known as 10Sa RNA or SsrA, is named for its dual tRNA and mRNA-like properties. Its role is to liberate the mRNA from a stalled ribosome. The record is from RNAcentral. Lineage: Bacteria; Bacillati; Actinomycetota; Actinomycetes; Pseudonocardiales; Pseudonocardiaceae.